This 22-nucleotide microRNA is filed under the name Branchiostoma floridae (Florida lancelet). RNAcentral's name for it is "bfl-miR-4856b-3p". The record is from miRBase by way of RNAcentral. Lineage: Eukaryota; Metazoa; Chordata; Leptocardii; Amphioxiformes; Branchiostomatidae.
CGGAGCUCACGCCAGUGCAACA